CGGGAGAAGAAGAACGUAUGGAUUACAUGCUGUGUCGGCUGCAGGGGGGCAGACGGUGUGAGACUGAAGGUUGUAAAGGGCAUGACAAUCCGAGGAGACCGUCGGGCGUCGGUCCAGCACCAUUGCUACCCGUCGGCCCCCGUCUGCCUUUUUUUGGCCAAUUUGACAUCAGCAGUUGGUGAGAGGACUCUCUCUGAUUGGCUGUUGGGAGGUUUCAUUUCUCUCCAGCUCUCGACACAGGUCUAGCAGGCGCAAAAGGCCAAACAAUUAUUUUGUGAAUCAGGCCAUCAGACAUGGAAAAGUUGAUGCUGCUCCCAGCCAGGAAUCACAU
Long non-coding RNA from Labrus bergylta (ballan wrasse), 331 nucleotides. RefSeq lists it as uncharacterized. NCBI's taxonomy places the organism in Eukaryota, Metazoa, Chordata, Actinopteri, Labriformes, Labridae. The record is from RefSeq and is a predicted model, not a curated record.